AACGAACGCUGGUGGCGUGUUUUAUACAUGCAAGUCGAGCGAGGACGGUAGCAAUACCGAGCCGAGCGGCGAACGGGUGAGUAACGCGUAAGCAAUCUGCCCCACAAUCGGGAACAACCGUGCCAACGCGCGGCUAAUGCCGGAUAUUGUAGUCUACUGCAUAGUAGGCCAACGAAAGAUUUAUUGUUGUGGGAUGAGCUUGCGUCCGAUUAGCUAGUUGGCGGGGUAAUAGCCCACCAAGGCGACGAUCGGUAGCCGGCCUGAGAGGGUGAUCGGCCACAUUGGGACUGAGAUACGGCCCAGACUCCUACGGGAGGCAGCAGUAGGGAAUAUUGCGCAAUGGGGGGAACCCUGACGCAGCAACGCCACGUGUGGGAAGAAGCAUUUCGGGUGUAAACCACUGUCGGAAAGGAAUAACGGAAGACUUCGGUCUUUAUGAAAUGUACUUUUAGAGGAAGCACCGGCAAACUUCGUG
RNAcentral lists this ribosomal RNA (475 nucleotides) under uncultured bacterium. Its description in RNAcentral is "bacterial SSU rRNA". It matches the Rfam family "Bacterial small subunit ribosomal RNA", at positions 29 to 507 of the family's 1533-position model. The record is from RNAcentral.